This 474-nucleotide long non-coding RNA is filed under the name Vigna radiata. RNAcentral's name for it is "long non-coding RNA (VRAD_LNC013228)". Lineage: Eukaryota; Viridiplantae; Streptophyta; Magnoliopsida; Fabales; Fabaceae. The record is from RNAcentral.
UUUAUUCUUGAGUUAUAAAUUAUCUGACCCAACAAAAUUAUGUUUGAAUUAAGUUAAAUUUGAUCGUGAGUAAAAAAGUAAAAUCAGUCCGAUUAUACUUAAUUGGGUCGAAUUUAAAAUUAGAUUACAUCCAUCUAGUCUAAACCACUUAUACAAUUAUAUUUAAGUGUCAUUAAUCCCGUUUAUUAUAUUGUUUUUUAACAUUUUUAUUUAUUAUAAAGAUAACACUUCUAUUUUUUAGAAAAAUAUUUUAAUUAUCUUAAUACAGUUCUUAUUACGAAAACGAUUACCUUUGUUUUUCAAAUUCGGCAACUAAGACUUUGUCAAAGCUUUUCAAAUUGUUACAAUUUAUUUUCAGGUCAUGUAGCAUUGUUGCAAUGUAUAUUCAGGUUAUAAUUUGGGUUUACUGUGACUUGGUCAAAUAAAUUAAAAUGACGAUGUUUUAAACUUUCCUCAAACACAGCAUUUCAGAAG